GCAAAGGAGAAGCGGAAUGAAAGAUGAACUCCGUACAUAGUAUGCGAAAUAAAAUGCAGGAAAACGAACGGAAAUCACAGUAUCUGGUAAUCUCGCCGGGUAGAUAUAAGAGUUGACGAAAAUCUUUCAGAAAAACAAGGACGCUGCCCUGGGAGAUCCAUCCCAUGUCACAAAACUGUCGUUCGCAACAUCUCCUUCAUCCAAACGGCCAGCUCUUCGCGGGGGACUAACAAUAACAAUGGAAUUCGAAUGCGCCCGCUGAGACCGAACCGGACUCGCCUCCAAUGACCCGCCAACAUCGACAUUGAUCUCCAUCUCCGGUUGAUGCUCCUGUUGUUGGUUGUGCUGCAACCUAUGUCCCUCUCCGGCCUGAAAAUCUAAGCCAUGCCUGUGGUCAUUCUCCGCAAUCCCGUACUCAUACCCAUACUCUCCCUCAUGUGGCCUGUUCCUCAACGUCCAUAUAUUCCACCCGUCAUUCAUCGCGGCAAGCUCGACAAUAUUCUCCGCCUCUGCAACCAUAUUAUCCUGCACGUAAACAUCUUGCUCGGGUAUAUCCUCCACUUCCUCAUUCUCGUCCAUAUCCACGGCUACGUUCUCCUUGUCA
RNAcentral lists this small RNA (604 nucleotides) under Histoplasma capsulatum. Its description in RNAcentral is "hypothetical RNA". RNAcentral also lists the same sequence under 1 other name. Lineage: Eukaryota; Fungi; Ascomycota; Eurotiomycetes; Onygenales; Ajellomycetaceae. The record is from RNAcentral.